RNAcentral lists this ribosomal RNA (440 nucleotides) under uncultured bacterium. Its description in RNAcentral is "partial 16S ribosomal RNA". It matches the Rfam family "Bacterial small subunit ribosomal RNA", at positions 338 to 795 of the family's 1533-position model. The record is from RNAcentral.
CCUACGGGGGGCUGCAGUAGGGAAUAUUGCUCAAUGGGGGAAACCCUGAAGCAGCAACGCCGCGUGGAGGAUGAAGGUUUUCGGAUUGUAAACUCCUUUUGUUAGAGAAGAUAAUGACGGUAUCGAACUAAUAAGCACCUGCUAACCCCGUGCCAGCAGCCGCGGUAAUACGGUGGGUGCAAGCGGUACUCGGAAAAAAUGGGCGGAAAGAGCGCGUAGGCUGGAUAGCAAGUCAGAUGUGAAAUCCUAUGGCUUAACCAUAGAACUGCAUUUGAAACUGUUAUUCUAGAGUAUGGGAGAGGUAGGUGGAAUUCUUGGUGUAGGGGUAAAAUCCGUAGAGAUCAAGAGGAAUACUCAUUGCGAAGGCGACCUGCUAGAACAUAACUGACGCUGAUGCGCGAAAGCGUGGGGAGCAAACAGGAUUAGAUACCCUAGUAGUC